RNAcentral lists this ribosomal RNA (613 nucleotides) under Debaryomyces hansenii. Its description in RNAcentral is "eukaryotic LSU rRNA". It matches the Rfam family "Eukaryotic large subunit ribosomal RNA", at positions 38 to 667 of the family's 3401-position model. Lineage: Eukaryota; Fungi; Ascomycota; Pichiomycetes; Serinales; Debaryomycetaceae. The record is from RNAcentral.
GCAUAUCAAAAAGCGGAGGAAAAGAAACCAACAGGGAUUGCCUUAGUAACGGCGAGUGAAGCGGCAAAAGCUCAAAUUUGAAAUCUGGCACCUUCGGUGUCCGAGUUGUAAUUUGAAGAAGGUAACUUUGGAGUUGGCUCUUGUCUAUGUUCCUUGGAACAGGACGUCACAGAGGGUGAGAAUCCCGUGCGAUGAGAUGCCCAAUUCUAUGUAAAGUGCUUUCGAAGAGUCGAGUUGUUUGGGAAUGCAGCUCUAAGUGGGUGGUAAAUUCCAUCUAAAGCUAAAUAUUGGCGAGAGACCGAUAGCGAACAAGUACAGUGAUGGAAAGAUGAAAAGAACUUUGAAAAGAGAGUGAAAAAGUACGUGAAAUUGUUGAAAGGGAAGGGCUUGAGAUCAGACUUGGUAUUUUGCGAUCCUUUCCUUCUUGGUUGGGUUCCUCGCAGCUUACUGGGCCAGCAUCGGUUUGGAUGGUAGGAUAAUGACUAAGGAAUGUGGCUCUACUUCGGUGGAGUGUUAUAGCCUUGGUUGAUACUGCCUGUCUAGACCGAGGACUGCGUCUUUGACUAGGAUGCUGGCAUAAUGAUCUUAAGCCACCCGUCUUGAAACACGGACC